CGAUCCCUAUUACUACCAUUCCAAUUCGGGGAUGCCUCACGACCCUUCCUCUUCUGGUUUCAUGGCGACACACGGCACACAUCGGUUCAUGUCAAUGCAUGAGCAAACCGCUUUGUUAGUUGGAGACGGAAAGCAUGGGGUCUGGAGAUUCCAGGAAAAUGGUUUUAUCAGAGUUUAUCGUGAGCAAGGAGAGAGGGUGUUCCUGCGGAGAAAAAAGAAAUGGCGUUAGUUGAUCUGAGGGACAAAGAAACCGGCUGAACAGGACGACGACAUUAGAAAAUUACUGGAGAUUCUUGAAGAGCACUACAUGAACAUCGACCCCAAAUAUGAAGCUGAGUUUAACUACACUUUUGGAGAUGUAGAGGUAUCGAAGGAAGGAAUGCUGAAUUGGAUUGAUUUGCCGAUCUAUCACCCUAAGUUUGGGGACAAAUAUGAUGAUCAUGUUCCUAUCGAACUUCCUCUCUAUUACUGCCAGAUGUCUUCACCAGAUUUUCCACACAUGGGAGUCACGUGGCACAUGAUGAAAGUGCAGCCAACAGCGAAUAAAGUCGGCCCUCUCGGUAAAAGAGCUGGUAUAGAUAUCCGAGAAAAUUUCAACGACGUCAUCCGAUUUCAUCUAUUCGACGACGCUGGAGUUUGGGCAAACAUAGGUCAGGGAAACCCAGAAACUGACAUGAUGCCGAAAACUCUUGAAGAGCUGAGACAAAGAGUGCAUACUGUAAACUGGCAGAGAGUUGAUUUAAAUAAAGUAGAUAUAGAAGUUUACGUCAUGGAGAGAUCUUACCAUAAUGCACCUGAACAUACCUCUCAAUGUUAUUUGUUAUGGAGGAUACCAGUGGGGAAACACACCAGACUUACAUUCGACCUGAUGGAAAUAUUACGAGGGUUUGAUGAGAAGAAACCACGCGAUUAAGAACCCAGUGCCGGAUAACUUUCCAAAAAUUCCCCAUGGAGAAAGAAACUGAACCGAAGCAGGUGUACGGUUUGGCAACAUUCGGACAUCAUCACAUGAACAGAGUCAAGUUUGGUUUGACAGGCGGUGGCUGCCCCUAACAAAGGUGGU
Bolinopsis microptera is the source of this 1063-nucleotide long non-coding RNA. RefSeq lists it as uncharacterized. The record is from RefSeq and is a predicted model, not a curated record. The transcript has 3 exons. Lineage: Eukaryota; Metazoa; Ctenophora; Tentaculata; Lobata; Bolinopsidae.